UAGCUCAACGGUAGAGCGGCCGGCUGUUAACCGGUAGGUUACAGGUUCGAAUCCUG
This 56-nucleotide transfer RNA is filed under the name Chloroflexota bacterium. RNAcentral describes it as "Chloroflexi bacterium tRNA-Asn". It matches the Rfam family "tRNA", at positions 8 to 62 of the family's 71-position model. Rfam says of the family: Transfer RNA (tRNA) molecules are approximately 80 nucleotides in length. Their secondary structure includes four short double-helical elements and three loops (D, anti-codon, and T loops). The record is from RNAcentral. Lineage: Bacteria; Bacillati; Chloroflexota.